ACGAAAACGCCUUGACGUGGUUUCUUCUACCCGAGCGCCCUCGCCUCUUCCAAACCACGGUGCAGUGCUACAGAGUCUCCAAGAUUCUCUCUCUCUCUUCUCUGAGGUUUUGUAGGAGGAGUUAUGGCUUUGUCUACUCCAGGGGUCCCGGAACGAAGAGUAAUACCGGGUGCUGAAUUCGUUGAAGACGUUCAGACCUGUCUCAAUGUCAACUCCGCCCUCGCUUUCCUCCAAGAAAGGUCACCCUACUUUAAUUUCAAUCUCUCUCUCUCCUUCUCUCUCACACCACACUAAUAAUUUCGUUUCUUCUUUCUUUCUUUUGUUUUUCUUUUUCUUUUUAAAUUUACCUUGCGAGUGACGGAAUAGUACUCGACCUAUAUGAAACCUUAAAAAUCUGUUGAGUCCUGUUAUUUUAUUUUAUUCUGUUUCUUUCCACAAGUUGUAAUCUGUUGUUUCUUCAAAUGUAUGCAAUGCACUAAUCUCUUACAGACUACAGCAGUAUAAGUUGGUUGAGAUGAGACUUCUCGCUCAGCAAAGGGAUAUUCAGGUGUUUUUGUUGAAUCUCCUUCGUUCUACAUUGUCUAGCAUGCGUUUUACACUGUUUUUAGUUUUUUCUUCAAAUGAUAUGAGGACUCGCAUUCGACUUGACUUGUUGAGUUCCAUGUUUUCAUUUUCUUUUAGUUAUUGUUUACUGUUAAAAUGGAAGAGUAUUCACUUGCCUAUGUUAACCUUAAUGGUGCAUUUGUGCUAAAUAACUUGAGUUUAUUUCUUGUCCACCAUUUAUUGCGUAUUGCUACAGAAAUUCUGGAUUCACCUCUCUAGAUUAGGACCUUCUUGAGUUAAGGGAACUGCACCGUGGAGCCAUAUAUUUAAUUGGAUAGUCGAUCGCGUCAUCUCAUUAUUGUCCACAUCUAGAGGAUCUGUUAACUUUCUUUUUUCGAAAAUAAAAAUAAAAAUCUCACGAAUUUGUAUGGUAAAGUGAUAAUGUGAACUUUUAAAUGAGAAUAAUGGUUAGAAUUUUAAGAAUCUUCCAAAGAUUCUGAUUUGCGGAUUCUGGUUUUAUUGAUCUUUUCCAAUAGACAUGGAAAUCUUUCUAACCUCUCACUAAGUCGUUGCUCUGCACAGAUGUAUCAUAUGUGCCUUUAUGGUGGAAGGAUUUGGGAAUUUUAUAUGAAAAAUGUAUGGUGUUAAUAUGAAUUACCAUUGAACUGGUAUAACACAAAACCUUGGGCAUGAAUGUUGAUCAACAUAUCAGUUACAAAAAUGUGGAGUUGCUUGACCAUGGGUUCUAAAAUCUGUCCUCUACCAUCUUUCUUAUUUCUUAUUCCUCUCUUUGGGGUUAAACCUGAUGUAAAUUAAAUAUUUACCACUUGGUCAACACCUUCAUGCUAAAUUUUGGAUUUAUGAUGGUCUUGGCACUUUAUUUCUUGCUGUUGUAGGCAAAGAUCCCUGACAUUGAAAAGUGCUUAGACGUGGUUGCCCCUUUGCAAACUAAGAAGGGUACUGGUGAGUGGUGAGGCACUUAUUACUGACUUUGAAGCCUCUGAAGGCAUAUAUUAUUGGGCUCGCAUUGAGGAUAAUGACUCAGUAUGUUUAUGGCUGGGAGCAAACUUCAUGUUAGAGUAUUCAUGCCACUGCUCUUCUUCAAAAAAAUUUGGAUAAUGCUAAAGCCAGUUUAGAAGUUGUUGAUGCCAAUCUACAGUUCUUGAGAGAUCAAGCGACCAUAACUCAGUUUGACGACCAUUGAGCAGGUCACCAUUACUCGUGUGUAUAAUUGGGAUGUUCAUCGGCACAGAAUUCGACAAGCUGCUGCUGGAAAAGACUCGUGAAAUUAAAACGAUCCACCCACAUUCAGAGGUGACAAACUAUGUUUUCCUUGGAAAUGCUAUAUUACUAGGACCACUAAUAGAUUAGGAAAAAAAUAAAAAUAAAAAAUAAAAAAAGGACCACUAAUGGGCUUGAGCUGUAACAUUUGGUUUGCCCGUGAAUUUUUGGUUGGUGGAAAUGUUUUUUUUUUCUCUUUGCUUCGUGAAACUCAGUGAUAUAGUUUAGAGAUCAGCCGAACUCUAUUUGGUUUUAAGUUUUUUAAGUUCUGCUUUAGUGGUGUUGGGGGGAGAAUGAUGGGACCCAGGAAGCUCCAAUCCGAAUGUGUCGGCAAAACUUAAUCGAAUGAAGCUAUAAGGCGUCAAGAUUGCCGGGUCUGAAAUGAUGUCAGCCCAAUCUUAUCCUUCCUAAAAAGGGCCGUAGAUCUGGAUGUCUCAUAUAAUAUCCGUGAUUAGUCAGAAGGUACAUGAUGUUAACUUUGAUGUAUACUUUAGUCAGCUAACCUAAUGAUACUCUUUCACGAAGAUUUUAUUUUUUA
This is an RNA transcript of Carya illinoinensis, 2362 nucleotides long. It is a transcript of the gene named probable prefoldin subunit 3, with no coding region annotated. The transcript has 5 exons. The record is from RefSeq and is a predicted model, not a curated record. NCBI's taxonomy places the organism in Eukaryota, Viridiplantae, Streptophyta, Magnoliopsida, Fagales, Juglandaceae.